AGGAGAUGUCUGCACAUUAUCACAGUGGACAGGUGGGAGCUUUCCUGCCUUAUGCAGAAACAGAAUUUAACAUUAAAAUGUUAAAUUUUAACAUUUUGUGGGAUUGGGAAUGGAGAAGGCAUGCAAGAUUUAGUGGACAUGGUAGUGAUGGGUUGGGGUUGGAUUAGAUGAUCUUGGAGGUCUUUUCCAAUCUUAAUGGUUGUAUGAUUCUAUUUAGAUCAGCAUGUGAACAAAGAUACAAUGCUGUGAACACGAUGGAAAGCUGAAGCUGUGGAAAGCUAUGGAUGCUGUGAAAGGCUGUUUUGUGGGUAGGGGUUUGACCUGGGAGCUGGGCUGUUAUGGGGAUUAAGCACAUCAUAGCUCAUUAGUAUGAGUUCUCACCAAGUCUGGGCAGCCUGAUCUAGUGGUUGGGACUGGGCUGGAACUGCAUGGGCUUUAAGGUCCCUUCCAACCUUACCCAUUUUAUGAUAUGAUUAACAAGAGCCCGUUAGAGGGCUAGAGAGCACAGGCAUGGCAGCUUCCUUCCAGGACUGAAUUCCCACUGCUGUCAGUAGCCAGUACCAAGUGCAGUGGGGAAAAUGAGCUCAUUUGUUUCUUUUCAAAGAAAAAACAACAACAACAAAAAUUCAAAUCCUUUGGAAGUUUCCAAGUGAAAAAUUCCUGGCUUUGAUUAAAGACACCUCGUGAUGUGCUCUCAGAUCUGGAAGAGAGGAGGGAGGCAGCCUUAAUGCUUUGUCCAUUCAGAGCUGGAUUUACACUGACGUUUAAGUGUAUACUUUUUAGUCAACUUGUAGAUAUUUCUUUAAAUGGUGUUUGAAUGGAGUUCACACACCUGCUCUGCUGAAAGACUCCCAGCUCUUUUCUGUAGUGCACCUUCCAACCACUCACUGGUGGUGAGGCACACCUGGAGACUUUCAAGGUGAUGCUGGAUAAGGUCUUGGGCAACCUGGUGUCCUUGUUCAUUGCAGGGGAAUUGGACUAAAUGGCCUUAAGAGGUACCUUCCAACUCCAAAGAUUCUACAUUUGUCCCUCUCUCUCUGUAAGCAUUCCUUAGAGAAUUUGCUGAGCUACAGAGCCACAGUGCAGAAAGAAGGAAGCCACAUCAGGAAGAAAGUUCCCCAUCACCUUUAUCUUGAACAUUGCUGGCUGCGAGACCAAAAAUCCAUGCCAGAGACUGUGUGGUUUGUUAGGAUGGAGUUGGAGAUGAGAAAUCGCUGUUAGGUUGUUGUUUCCUCCAUCAGUUUCUUCCAGAUGUAAAUAGGGAACCUUGCUGCAGUUGCUGGUUAUGAUGCCAAUCCUCUGACUAUUGAUUUCUGUGGGAUGAUGAGACCAAUUCCCAUUAAGACCUAGAAGUAGGAGUUGUGUGAUGACACCAUGCUGUCCCUACUUGGAAAAUACAUCCUCCAUCUGACCCAUAGACUCAUCUGGCAGCUCUGACAAGAGAUAGCAGUGAGAGCAUGGUGUGUACUGAAUCAUAGAACCAUUAGAGUUGGAAGAGGCCUUUAAAGAUCAUCUGGUCCAACUCCCCUGCAAUGAACCUACAUCUACAGCUUUGGGUGUAGAUGGCAGGUAGGUGCUCAGAGCCCCAUCCAGCCCAACCUUGAGUGUUCCAGGGAUGGAAGAGUGUUGACUUUUGUUUCAAAGAUAAAAUUUAGAGGCUGCUUUUGAAGCAAACCAUAUCCUGCCAGAUGCUGCUUUGCUCCAGGAGACAGGGAUGCUGUUUGCAGAGGUGCCAGGUGGGGUGUCCAUGGGUGAUGGGCCUUCCCACAGCCUAGUAGCAGCUCCCUACAGAACAGGAGAUUUGCAGCCUAGGUGGGACAAGGUUAAAGUGAUGACACAUGGCCAUAGAAGCGAGCUCAUCCUGGAAAUUGUCUUUAGCUAUUUCCUGAACCACAUCUGACUUCUCUUAAUUUUUUUUCCCACUGUUCUUAUUCUUUCCCCCUUGUUUUCAUUUUUGCUUUCCCCUUCAGGGAAUGCUUUCAUAGCAAUUUCACAGGAAUUCGGUUUUGGUUUUGUUUGUAACAUAAGUGUUGCCAGUGGAGUGAAAACAGAAUCCACAGGCGCAAUUAUUGGUCACAACAGAGUGAAUAAAGGAAUUAAUUCUCUCCAGCAUUGUUAUGACUUUCACGUGCACAGCGAUGGCACAGGCUGCUGCUCUAACUGCGGUGUCUUCAGGAGAAGGAAAAUUCUCUGAAGGUUUGUGGGAGAUAAUUAGUUUGAACCAGCCUCCAGAAAAGAUGUAUCCUCCUUUGGGAACCUCAGAGCUAAACGCAGCGAAUGAACAGGUUCCUAUGGGUGACAUGAGAGGAGACAGACAUCGGGCUGCUCUAAGGAGGGAGGAAGAAUACUCUUUCCCUGCCAUUCACUUGGCUUCUUUGUGAUGCAGUUAUUUGCCUUUCUGCCAUGAAUAGGGCAGGGAUGCAGCCAAUCUCUGCAGCAGAGUGGCACUAAAAUUAGCUGCCUUUGACAGAAAAUGCCCUGAGUUUGGCGUCGUUAUGUUUGCUUGAUGUUUUUGUUAUUUCUUAAAUAUUUCAGCAGGAGGAAGCAGGUCUUCAUGAGCUCCAACUGGCAAGCAUCAGCAGCACCAAGGUUCCCUUCAAGCCCGACCAGUCUGAGGAUUUCAGCAGGACAUGAGGUCAUUACUCAAGAAAAGUCAGUCCUAAAGCAUCUUCCAACAAUGGCCUGAGGAGAGGAGCCUGGUUCUGCUUUGCUGCACAGUCCUUGCUUUCACUCUUCAGCCAAACUUGUAACAGCCCUGGGAGAAGAGUUAAACAAUGAAGCAGCUGUGACAUCUAGUGGCACUUGUGGCUAAUUCAACUCAGACAAAAAUACCCACUCUGAAUAUGACCAUAUGUAUAUUUGACAAUCAAAAUUUCAUGCCCAGCCUGCAAUUUCCUCUAUGAUGGAGAAGAAGCCUUGGCUGGGAGAAAUUGGCUGAUUUCUGUGAUGGCCCCAAGGAAGCGCAUAGUCCCUAAGCUCCAAAUUCCCACAACCAGAAGGUAAGCAAAGGAAAGAAAAACAUUUUACCAUUAGUUUUAAGGGAGUAUCAAAAGAAGUUUAAUUUUAUGCUUGCAGCGAAUUCUUUUCAUCUAAAGAUCUAGGAAAGGCAAAAUGUGAGCAGGCAGUGUGAUUUUAUCUUAUGCUCCUGCUGGAGUUCCCAGGUAAGUAAACAUUAACAUGACACUCUAUUCCUUUCGGUUGUUGUUGUUUUUCCUAUCUGAAGGUCGAGCCCUCUGCAGACAUACUGGGCAGAAAGUCCUGUGUUUAACCUCAUGAAGAUCUGCUUUCAAACAAGAUCAAAGCCCAGCUCUAAGUAAAUGAGCAAAAAGAUGUUUUCACUGGGAUUCGGCUGUUUCUGGACGUGUGAUUUCCACAAGGUUCAGCUCCAAAAUCCGCAUUGCUCUUAAAACAAGGUUGCACGCUUAAAAAUGUAUUAGGAAGACCCACCCCUUCUGCAGUGGCUGAAAAGCAUUGUUCAGAGAUUAAAUCCCAUGGCUUUUUUCCAACCCUUUGGCUGCCCCACACUGAGACAGAAUUCAGUCUGUCCCAAGCGGUGCAGGGGAACUCCUGUGCCACCUGAGUGCUGCUCA
Tympanuchus pallidicinctus (lesser prairie-chicken) is the source of this 3590-nucleotide long non-coding RNA. RefSeq lists it as uncharacterized. Lineage: Eukaryota; Metazoa; Chordata; Aves; Galliformes; Phasianidae. The transcript has 3 exons. The record is from RefSeq and is a predicted model, not a curated record.